This 460-nucleotide ribosomal RNA is filed under the name uncultured bacterium. Its description in RNAcentral is "partial 16S ribosomal RNA". It matches the Rfam family "Bacterial small subunit ribosomal RNA", at positions 338 to 795 of the family's 1533-position model. The record is from RNAcentral.
CCUACGUGAGGCAGCAGUGAGGAAUAUUGGUCAAUGGACGAGAGUCUGAACCAGCCAAGUAGCGUGAAGGAUGACUGCCCUAUGGGUUGUAAACUUCUUUUAUAAAGGAAUCAAACGAGGCACGUGUGCCUUUUUGCAUGUACUUUAUGAAUAAGGAUCGGCUAACUCCGUGCCAGCAGCCGCGGUAAUACGGAGGAUCCGAGCGUUAUCCGGAUUUAUUGGGUUUAAAGGGUGCGUAGGUGGUUUGACAAGGUAGUAGCGCAACUCCGGAGCUCAACUUCGGAACUACUACUAAAACUGUUGGACGUGAGUGCAGGAGGGGCAAUCGGAAUUCCUAGGGUAGCGGUGGAAUGCGUAGAUAUUAGGAGGAACACCAGUGGCGAAGGCGGAUUGCUAGACUGUAACUGACACUGAGGCACGAAAGCGUGGGGAGCAAACAGGAUUAGAGACCCGAGUAGUC